RNAcentral lists this long non-coding RNA (259 nucleotides) under Numida meleagris (helmeted guineafowl). Its description in RNAcentral is "lncRNA (ENSNMEG00000013944.1)". The record is from RNAcentral. Lineage: Eukaryota; Metazoa; Chordata; Aves; Galliformes; Numididae.
UUUGGCUUUUUUCAAUCUUUAUUGUUAUUCACAAGCACUGUUAUAGUAAUACAUACACAAGCAUGAAGACGCAAGAGGGUGUGAUAGUUCAGGAGGUUUUUGUUGUUUGCAGCAAAGGAAGAGUGAAGGAAGCCAAGGUCAGAAGAAAAGGUGAGCUUUUGGACUGACACUCUCUACUUCCCAGUGAGAUGUAGCUGUCUGUGCUGCCCAGCAUCAUUUGGUACAUUUAUAAGGCCUUUUGUGCUAGUACUGUUGUUUU